UACGGAGGGUGCAAGCGUUAAUCGGAAUUACUGGGCGUAAAGCGGGCGCAGGCGGUAUGGUAAGUCCGCUGUGAAAUCCCCGAGCUCAACUUGGGAAUUGCAGUGGAUACUGGCAAGCUGGAGUAUGGUAGAGGAAGGUGGAAUUCCCGGUGUAGCAGUGAAAUGCGUAGAGAUCGGGAGGAACACCAGUGGCGAAGGCGGCCUUCUGGACCAAUACUGACGCUCAUGCACGAAAGCGUGGGGAGCAAACAGG
RNAcentral lists this ribosomal RNA (253 nucleotides) under uncultured bacterium. Its description in RNAcentral is "partial 16S ribosomal RNA". It matches the Rfam family "Bacterial small subunit ribosomal RNA", at positions 524 to 776 of the family's 1533-position model. The record is from RNAcentral.